GGAGAGAACGCUGGGUUGAAGUGGCUUAUUGGAGUCCUAGGUGGAAACUGUGGCAGAGCCCGGAGCCCUUCUUCCUUGUUCGGGCAAGGCUGUCCCAGUGCUCGGGCUGCUUUUGUGGAGGGCUGGUCCGCUCUGCCUGGGUGAGGACAGCGUCGUUAAUCUCCUGUCCUUGGCCGCUGUUACACUGUUACGCGGUGACUGGACGGAGGCCUUGCCAGGACCCAGACGUACAAAGGAGGCUGGAAAAGCCAGAGCUGUUCCUGCGGGGGACUCACCCCUGUGUCCUGUCCUUGCUGCCCGCACCCUGCUCCCUUCUUACAUCUGCCUAGCGUCCUGCAUGCCUGGCACCGACCUGAUCUUUGUCGCUGAGACGGAGCAGCUUCUCCAGGGUAACCAAGAGAAGGUAUUCUCUUCCAAUGCAGGUAUUCCCCCUCCAUCCCCGGCCUCAGACUCUUGGGCUCCCCCUUGUGGCAGGCCCUGGCCAGGCCCACUUUCCCGACCUUCCCGGAGGUCUGAUAACCUGGGAAGCCACGAACCCCCGUUUUGGAAACUGUGGCUCCUCUGACCUGCAGAUUUCGCCAUUCCUGCGGGCUCCUAAGACCACGCCCCGGGCGCCUUUGGGAGGAGCAAGGGCGGCUCCGAGGGGAAAGCAGCCAUCUAGCGACCUGUGCUCCUCUUGGCAGCUGCUUUGUUAUUAAAACCAGUCCCAAGCCAUGUUCCAACCUGAAUCAUCCCCAAACCUGGAUCAGACCCCUUGAAAGAUGAGGAGGGGUUUACAAAAGGGGUGCAUUCCACAAAGUUUGGCUCCAUUUACCCUAGGCUCAGGCUGGGUCUGACCUGAAGCGCUGUUGCUCCGGGCACUCUGCCUCUUCUUCCUCCUCUCCAGGCUUCGCCUGCUCUUUGGACCUGGAGUCGGCUUGCAAUUUGUUUCUCAAUCCUAACCCUACUUCGUCUCCAACACCUGCUCUCCCAGGAGCUAUUGUUGCGUUUUACAGAUGAGGAAACCGAGGUCCAGGGUCCAGGGUAUUAAAUGACUUGUCUGAGGCCUGAGGGCUCUUGAAGCGCUGGAGCCAGAAGGUGACCCAAAGUCAGGCUCCUUCCAUUACCAUAUGCUUCCCCCUCUUUGGUUUAACAAAAAUGACAAAGGCUUGGCCCCUGCCCUCGAGGAACUCUGGGUCGACUGGAACAGACAGGCAGGUAAACAAAUACUGAGUGCGAACAGGGCAAUAGUGAGAUAAUGGAGAUAUUUACCCAUAUCUCUGAAAAUACAAAAGAGCUAGUUAUUCAUUUUGCUUGAAGAGCUUUGGUGGUGGUAGUGAUGGUGCUGGUGGGGUGUGUGUAUGUGUAUGUGUGUCUGCGUGUGUAUGGGGUCAUAAUUUUUGCAGAGAAGGUUUUCUGAAGCAACUUUUCCAGAGGUCAGAGACUCCAGAGAGCAAGUACAAAGAUUGUGUCCCCACUCCCACAACCCUGGCCCCGGCAGGGCAGGCAUCGCUAAUCCACCUUUCCCGGUGAACCCAGGUAUGGCCUCAGAAUCCUUUACAACAAAGUAUCCAGGUGGCUAUACCUUUUAAUUGGCAGGCAAGAGAGCAUUUUUGGGUACUCCAGUGUAUUAGACAAUUUUUUUUAAAUAAAAUAUCCUAUCAGUUUUUAUAAGUUUUAGCUAUUAUUUUAUUCCUUUGUGAAGUAUUAUAUUUUUCAUGUUAUUGACCAUUGGUGUUUCAUUUUUCUUUUUUGACCACGCUGCAUCAUAAAGAGUUCCAGAGCCCGGGAUCAGAUCUGAGCCACAGUUGCAUGCCAGGGUGCAGCCAUGCCAGUUCCUUAAUCCACUGUGCCAGGUCAGGGAUUGAACCUGCGUCCUAGUGUGCCAGAGACACUGCCCAUCCCAUUGUAUCACAGCCGGAACUCCAACAUUUGUGUUUUCUAGAAGAAGAAACGGGCUUCGAGAAGAGAGUGGCUUCUCUAGAUCACUGUGGUGCAACAACACCUGAAAUCCCAUGCAGAUCUUGCUUCUCUGAGUGAUUUUUUAAAUCUUUUGUACAUUGAGGAGCCAACACUUAUUGACUUCUUGCUAGGUGCCGUGUUCUGUGACAUGCACAGGGAAUAUUUAUUCCCUGUGCUACCUCUCAUUCUCACAGCCACCUCUGAGGUAGCAAGAUCAUUCCCAUUUUACAGAAGACAAAACUGAGGCUCCGAAUUAUAACUUGCUCAAAGUCACACAGCCAGGAGGCUGUGGAAUCUAAACCUGUGUUCAGAUCUGUCUCACUCCAAAGCCUAUUUACUGUUUUCUUCUACAUUUAUUGCCAAGUGUUUGACAUUUUAGAAAAGAUUUCAGGUGGAUGAAAUGCAUACCCUUGUCACUAUUCCCCACUUAGGCCAUGAAACAAAGCCUGCUUUAUUUUUGCAGAACACCCUCCUACCCUUCAUAACACAUAAAGAGGGAGAUUUCACAAAGUAAUUGAGCACUGUUGAACAUUUCUCAACGAAACCUGCUUUUAGGGGAGUUUUAAAAUGAAUUUUCUUUAUACAUUGAAAUCAUGUCUUUGGAUAAUUCAGAGGAAAGCCGGGGAAGUCUGCAAUGCGCAGACCUGCUCGUCUGAGGAGUAAUUUAAUGCCAGUGACAUAGAUCUCUCUUUCUCUUUUUGCCUUUAAUCCAUUUUAACAAGCCAGAUGGUCAUGGCAAAUGGGUCCUCUAACAUCUCCCUUUUCUAACUCUGUUGCUCUCAGGGAUUUAUUUAAAUUUGGUUCCUGGCAACAAUCUUAUACCUUCCUAUUCUUUGCCAUUCUUUGCCGCUAUGUGGCUCCUUCCGUAACCUCCAUAACUAUUCCUUCUCCAGCCUCCCUCUUAGCAUUAACCUUUCCUUCUAUAUUCUCCCAUCUCUCCCAGCACAGGGUAACCUAGUAGAGGGUACCUAUUCCUUCCGUUAGUUAUUUCUGUGUGUGACUUCCUCCAUUAGACCCAGCCUUGCUCAUUUAUAAUCUAUGUAACAGUAAUUACCUUCACUGCAAUGCUUUAUAAUUUCCGGGUACUUUCCAAGUCAAGAUACUGUUUAAUACUGACAAUAUCUCUGGGGUAUUUUUUAAAAAAUAUGUUCAGUUUUACAGAUAUGGCCACGGAGUCUCAGAGAGGUGCGGCAACUUGCCCAAAAUCACACAGCUCGCUAGUUAUAAGGUUUAGGAGCAAAUUGAGUGUUCCGUCCCCAUAACUAUAAUAUAGAGUAUUUUCUAUAUAGUUUUAUUUAUUUUUAUUUAAAAUUCUUUUAAAUUGAAGUAUAGUUGAUUUACAAAUUUCUGCCACACAGCAAAGUGAUUCAGCUGUACAUAUAUCUAUGUACAUUCUAUUUUAUAUUCUUUUCCAUUAUCUUUUUAUCAGGAUAUUGAGUAUAGUUCCCUGUACUACACAAUAGAACUUUGUUCUGUAUCCAUUCUAGAUAUAAUAGUUUGCAUCUGCUAACCCCAGACUCCCAGUCCAUCCCCUACCCCCUGUAUAAAAUUUUGAAAACUUACUGAUUACAGUUUUAUCAGACUCUUACUUAUCAAUUCUUUUCUUCUGUAAAUAUUUAUUGAGCAUUUAUGUACCAGGAAUUGUGCUGGAUUCCAGGGAAACAUGAGCGCAUAAGACAAAAAAAGGUCUUUGUCUCAUGGGACUUAGAGUGUGGCAGAGAGAUAGUAAACAAGGAAUCAAAAUUUUAAAAACGCGGUAGGACAAAUAAUGCCUCCUUCCCUAAGGUGUCCACAUCCUCUUCCCCAAACCUGUGGAUGUUAACUUACAUGACAAAAAGAACCUGGCAGAUGUGAGGGAGUUAAGGAUUCUGAGCUGGAGGAUGAACCUGGCUUACCUGGGUGGGUGGACCCCAUGUAAUGAUAAGAUUCCUUAGGAAAGGGAGGUUGUAGGUUCAGAAUCAGAGAUGGGAGGACCAAAACAGAGGUUGGAUUGAUGCGAUUAAGGAUGGAAGAGGGCCACGAGACAAGGAAUGGGGGCCGCUUCCAGAAGCUCGAAAAGAUGAGGAAAUGAAUUUCCCUGCAGAGCUUCCAGCAGGAACACAGUCCUGCUGACGCUUAUUAAACGUCUGAUGUUCAGGACUAUAAAUAAAUAAAUCUCUGUUGCUUUAAGCCAUUAAAACUGUGGGAAUGUGUUACAGCAGGAAGAGGGAAGGAACACACAAGGUGAUCACAGAUUGUGACCAACGCUGUGAAGAAAAGAAACAGCUUGAUGCUGUAACAACUGGGGAAGGACUCUCUGGGGAGAAGAUGAGAGUGGACCAGCCCAAGGAAAAGUGUUCCAGGCAGAAGGAACAGCAGGUGCAAAGGCCCAGAGGAGGAACGUUGAUGAGGAACAAAAACACAGCUAGACGUCAGUGAAGGUUGGAGAGUUAGAGUAAGUUGGAUCCUGCCAGGCCUAUUUGGCCACAGCAGAUUUAAGAAAGAGGAAGCUCUUGAAGGAUUUUAAACACGGGGAGAGGUAAUUUGCCAUUGCGUUGUCUGAAGUUCCUUGCAGGACAAAGACCCUUCCUUGGCGGGGUGGGUACUUAAACCCAGUCAAGACCAACCCAUCCUCCAAAUUAGUCUUGUGCUCUACCAGGCUUUUAGAAUAGGUCCAAUCUUCAUCAGAAAGCAUAGGGUUUGCUUUGUGCCAACCUGGCCCUCCAGUUCUGUAGGGAGCAGGUGUUGAACCACGGGCAGCAGACAUCACUGUAGCCUUGGAUGUAGUUUAUUACAGUGCGGGAGCACUGUCCUGUGAUGUGGUGGGGGACUCAGCAUUACUGAACUUAGCAAGGCCGCUGGCCAGGGGCAGAACCUAUCAUUUGAAAUACGUAUAAUUAUUUUGCUUAUUUAUGCCUUCUGUCUUUAGACUGUGAGUGCUGAGAAGCCAAAGACCACCUGGACUUUUAUCCCUGUGUUUCCAGUGCUUGCCUGCAGCAGGUACUCCACAGACACUUGUGAAAGCGUGGAGGAUUGGAGGAAAAGGGCAGCGGUAAUUUAGCUCUGCUUUUGUAGGAAACAGAAAGGGGAAGAGGACUUGUAAGCAGUAAAAUAUAAACAUCAAAACAACCUA
Sus scrofa (pig) is the source of this 5053-nucleotide non-coding RNA. NCBI's taxonomy places the organism in Eukaryota, Metazoa, Chordata, Mammalia, Artiodactyla, Suidae. The record is from RefSeq and is a predicted model, not a curated record.